RNAcentral lists this ribosomal RNA (3006 nucleotides) under Salmonella enterica subsp. enterica serovar Heidelberg. Its description in RNAcentral is "23S ribosomal RNA". It matches the Rfam family "Bacterial large subunit ribosomal RNA". The record is from RNAcentral. Lineage: Bacteria; Pseudomonadati; Pseudomonadota; Gammaproteobacteria; Enterobacterales; Enterobacteriaceae.
GGUUAAGCGACUAAGCGUACACGGUGGAUGCCCUGGCAGUCAGAGGCGAUGAAGGGCGUGCUAAUCUGCGAUAAGCGCCGGUAAGGUGAUAUGAACCGUUAUAACCGGCGAUACCCGAAUGGGGAAACCCAGUGUGACUCGUCACACUAUCAUUAACUGAAUCCAUAGGUUAAUGAGGCGAACCGGGGGAACUGAAACAUCUAAGUACCCCGAGGAAAAGAAAUCAACCGAGAUUCCCCCAGUAGCGGCGAGCGAACGGGGAGGAGCCCAGAGCCUGAAUCAGCAUGUGUGUUAGUGGAAGCGUCUGGAAAGGCGCGCGAUACAGGGUGACAGCCCCGUACACAAAAGCGCAUGUGCUGUGAGCUCGAUGAGUAGGGCGGGACACGUGGUAUCCUGUCUGAAUAUGGGGGGACCAUCCUCCAAGGCUAAAUACUCCUGACUGACCGAUAGUGAACCAGUACCGUGGGGGAAAGGCGAAAAGAACCCCGGCGAGGGGAGUGAAAAAGAACCUGAAACCGUGUACGUACAAGCAGUGGGAGCCCCACCACUAAGCCAGUGGUGAACUCCACAUACGCAUCCUUUGCUGAGGAUACGGUUAACGGAGCGAAAGCGACGUUCAACCGCAAAAGAAGCAGAGGGGGCUUAGUGGUGGGGUGACUGCGUACCUUUUGUAUAAUGGGUCAGCGACUUAUAUUCUGUAGCAAGGUUAACCGAAUAGGGGAGCCGGAGGGAAACCGAGUCUUAAUUGGGCGUUAAGUUGCAGGGUAUAGACCCGAAACCCGGUGAUCUAGCCAUGGGCAGGUUGAAGGUUGGGUAACACUAACUGGAGGACCGAACCGACUAAUGUUGAAAAAUUAGCGGAUGACCUGUGGCUGGGGGUGAAAGGCCAAUCAAACCGGGAGAUAGCUGGUUCUCCCCGAAAGCUAUUUAGGUAGCGCCUCGUGAAUUCAUCUCCGGGGGUAGAGCACUGUUUCGGCUAGGGGGCCAUCCCGGCUUACCAACCCGAUGCAAACUGCGAAUACCGGAGAAUGUUAUCACGGGAGACACACGGCGGGUGCUAACGUCCGUCGUGAAGAGGGAAACAACCCAGACCGCCAGCUAAGGUCCCAAAGUCAUGGUUAAGUGGGAAACGAUGUGGGAAGGCCCAGACAGCCAGGAUGUUGGCUUAGAAGCAGCCAUCAUUUAAAGAAAGCGUAAUAGCUCACUGGUCGAGUCGGCCUGCGCGGAAGAUGUAACGGGGCUAAACCAUGCACCGAAGCUGCGGCAGCGACACUGUGUGUUGUUGGGUAGGGGAGCGUUCUGUAAGCCUGUGAAGGUGUGUCGUGAGGCAUGCUGGAGGUAUCAGAAGUGCGAAUGCUGACAUAAGUAACGAUAAAGCGGGUGAAAAGCCCGCUCGCCGGAAGACCAAGGGUUCCUGUCCAACGUUAAUCGGGGCAGGGUGAGUCGACCCCUAAGGCGAGGCCGAAAGGCGUAGUCGAUGGGAAACGGGUUAAUAUUCCCGUACUUGGUGUUACUGCGAAGGGGGGACGGAGAAGGCUAUGUUGGCCGGGCGACGGUUGUCCCGGUUUAAGCGUGUAGGUGUGUGUUCCAGGUAAAUCCGGUUCACUUUAACACUGAGGCGUGACGACGAGGCACUACGGUGCUGAAGCAACAAAUGCCCUGCUUCCAGGAAAAGCCUCUAAGCAUCAGGUAACAUCAAAUCGUACCCCAAACCGACACAGGUGGUCAGGUAGAGAAUACCAAGGCGCUUGAGAGAACUCGGGUGAAGGAACUAGGCAAAAUGGUGCCGUAACUUCGGGAGAAGGCACGCUGACACGUAGGUGAAGUGAUUUACUCAUGGAGCUGAAGUCAGUCGAAGAUACCAGCUGGCUGCAACUGUUUAUUAAAAACACAGCACUGUGCAAACACGAAAGUGGACGUAUACGGUGUGACGCCUGCCCGGUGCCGGAAGGUUAAUUGAUGGGGUCAGCGCAAGCGAAGCUCCUGAUCGAAGCCCCGGUAAACGGCGGCCGUAACUAUAACGGUCCUAAGGUAGCGAAAUUCCUUGUCGGGUAAGUUCCGACCUGCACGAAUGGCGUAAUGAUGGCCAGGCUGUCUCCACCCGAGACUCAGUGAAAUUGAACUCGCUGUGAAGAUGCAGUGUACCCGCGGCAAGACGGAAAGACCCCGUGAACCUUUACUAUAGCUUGACACUGAACAUUGAGCCUUGAUGUGUAGGAUAGGUGGGAGGCUUUGAAGUGUGGACGCCAGUCUGCAUGGAGCCGACCUUGAAAUACCACCCUUUAAUGUUUGAUGUUCUAACGUGGACCCGUUACCCGGGUUGCGGACAGUGUCUGGUGGGUAGUUUGACUGGGGCGGUCUCCUCCUAAAGAGUAACGGAGGAGCACGAAGGUUGGCUAAUCCUGGUCGGACAUCAGGAGGUUAGUGCAAUGGCAUAAGCCAGCUUGACUGCGAGCGUGACGGCGCGAGCAGGUGCGAAAGCAGGUCAUAGUGAUCCGGUGGUUCUGAAUGGAAGGGCCAUCGCUCAACGGAUAAAAGGUACUCCGGGGAUAACAGGCUGAUACCGCCCAAGAGUUCAUAUCGACGGCGGUGUUUGGCACCUCGAUGUCGGCUCAUCACAUCCUGGGGCUGAAGUAGGUCCCAAGGGUAUGGCUGUUCGCCAUUUAAAGUGGUACGCGAGCUGGGUUUAGAACGUCGUGAGACAGUUCGGUCCCUAUCUGCCGUGGGCGCUGGAGAACUGAGGGGGGCUGCUCCUAGUACGAGAGGACCGGAGUGGACGCAUCACUGGUGUUCGGGUUGUCAUGCCAAUGGCACUGCCCGGUAGCUAAAUGCGGAAGAGAUAAGUGCUGAAAGCAUCUAAGCACGAAACUUGCCCCGAGAUGAGUUCUCCCUGAGACUUAGAGUCUCCUGAAGGAACGUUGAAGACGACGACGUUGAUAGGCCGGGUGUGUAAGCGCAGCGAUGCGUUGAGCUAACCGGUACUAAUGAACCGUGAGGCUUAACCUU